GAUGAACGCUGGCGGCGUGCCUAAUACAUGCCAGUCGAGCGAACAGACGAGGAGCUUGCUCCUCUGACGUUAGCGGCGGACGGGUGAGCAACACGUGGAUAACCUACCUAUAAGACUGGGAUAACUUCGGGAAACCGGAGCUAAUACCGGAUAAUAUAUUGAACCGCAUGGUUCAAUAGUGAAAGACGGUUUUGCUGUCACUUAUAGAUGGAUCCGCGCCGCAUUAGCUAGUUGGUAAGGUAACGGCUUACCAAGGCAACGAUGCGUAGCCGACCUGAGAGGGUGAUCGGCCACACUGGAACUGAGACACGGUCCAGACUCCUACGGGAGGCAGCAGUAGGGAAUCUUCCGCAAUGGGCGAAAGCCUGACGGAGCAACGCCGCGUGAGUGAUGAAGGUCUUCGGAUCGUAAAACUCUGUUAUUAGGGAAGAACAAAUGUGUAAGUAACUAUGCACGUCUUGACGGUACCUAAUCAGAAAGCCACGGCUAACUACGUG
This 497-nucleotide ribosomal RNA is filed under the name uncultured bacterium. Its description in RNAcentral is "partial 16S ribosomal RNA". It matches the Rfam family "Bacterial small subunit ribosomal RNA", at positions 28 to 507 of the family's 1533-position model. The record is from RNAcentral.